CCUAUGCUGCCUAGAAAAGCUUCGUGAGCGAGUUGUGAGCCGCCCGUACCCCAAACCGACACAGGUGGAUAGGUAGAGAAUACCGAGGCGAUCGAGGGAAUCGUGGUGAAGGAACUCGGCAAAAUACCCCCGUAACUUCGGGAUAAGGGGGACCUGAUCCGUGAUGGCCGUUGCGGCCAGGAGCGGGGAGGGUCGCAGAGACCAGGCCCAAGCGACUGUUUACUAAAAACACAGGUCCGUGCGAAGUUGUAAGACGAUGUAUACGGACUGACUCCUGCCCGGUGCUGGAAGGUUAAGGGGAACUGUUAGCGCAAGCGAAGCGGUGAACUUAAGCCCCAGUAAACGGCGGUGGUAACUAUAACCAUCCUAAGGUAGCGAAAUUCCUUGUCGGGUAAGUUCCGACCUGCACGAAUGGAGUAACGAUUUGGGCGCUGUCUCCACCACGAACUCGGCGAAAUUGUAUUACGAGUAAAGAUGCUCGUUACGCGCAGCAGGACGGAAAGACCCCGGGACCUUUACUAUAGUUUGGUAUUGGUGUUCGGUACAGCUUGUGUAGGAUAGGUGGGAGACUGUGAAGCAUUCACGCUAGUGUGUGUGGAGUCAACGUUGAAAUACCACUCUGGCUGUUCUGGAUAUCUAACCUCGGACCCUGAUCGGGUUCAGGGACGGUGCCUGAUGGGUAGUUUGACUGGGGCGGUCGCCUCCCAAAGAGUAACGGAGGCGCCCAAAGGUUCCCUCAGCCUGGUUGGCAAUCAGGUGUUGAGUGUAAGUGCACAAGGGAGCUUGACUGUGAGACCGACAGGUCGAGCAGGGACGAAAGUCGGGACUAGUGAUCUGACGGUGGCGUGUGGAAGCGCCGUCACUCAACGGAUAAAAGGUACCCCGGGGAUAACAGGCUGAUCUUGCCCGAGCGUCCAUAGCGACGGCAUGGUUUGGCAUCUCGAUGUCGGCUCGUCGCAUCCCGGGGCUGGAGUCGGUCCCAAGGGUUGGGCUGUUCGCCCAUUAAAGCGGCACGCGAGCUGGGUUUAGAACGUCGUGAGACAGUUCGGUCCCUAUCCGCUGCGCGCGUUAGAGUCUUGAGAAGGGCUGUCCUUAGUACGAGAGGACCGGGACGGACCAACCUCUGGUGUGCCAGUUGUACCGCCAGGUGCAUGGCUGGUUGGCUACGUUGGGAAGUGAUAACCGCUGAAAGCAUCUAAGCGGGAAGCACGCUUCAAGAUGAGGACUCUCACCACCUUGAGUGGGUAAGGCCCCCUACAGACCAUGGGGUUGAUAGGCCGGAUGUGGAAGCACAGUAAUGCGUGGAGCUGACCGGUACUAAUAGGCCGAGGGCUUGCCC
Molecule: ribosomal RNA, 1339 nt
Filed under: metagenome
Description: bacterial LSU rRNA
Rfam family: Bacterial large subunit ribosomal RNA
Source: RNAcentral